UACGGAGGGAGCAAGCGUUGUUCGGAUUUACUGGGCGUAAAGGGUCCGUAGGUGGUUGUGUAAGUCUGGUGUGAAAUCUUCGCCGCUUAACGGGAAGAAGCCACUGGAAACUGCGCAACUUGAGUAUGGUAGAGGCAAGCGGAAUUCCUGGUGUAGCGGUGGAAUGUGUAGAUAUCAGGAAGAACAUCUGUGGCGAAGGCGGCUUGCUGGGCCAUCACUGACACUGAGGGACGAAAGCGUGGGGAGCAAACGGG
This 254-nucleotide ribosomal RNA is filed under the name uncultured bacterium. RNAcentral's name for it is "partial 16S ribosomal RNA". It matches the Rfam family "Bacterial small subunit ribosomal RNA", at positions 524 to 776 of the family's 1533-position model. The record is from RNAcentral.